UACGUAGGUGGCAAGCCUUAUCCGGAAUUAUUGGGCGUAAAGCGCGCGCAGGCGGUUUCUUAAGUCUGAUGUGAAAGCCCACGGCUCAACCGUGGAGGGUCAUUGGAAACUGGGAAACUUGAGUGCAGAAGAGAAGAGUGGAAUUCCACGUGUAGCGGUGAAAUGCGUAGAGAUGUGGAGGAACACCAGUGGCGAAGGCGACUCUUUGGUCUGUAACUGACGCUGAGGCGCGAAAGCGUGGGGAGCAAACAGG
This 253-nucleotide ribosomal RNA is filed under the name uncultured bacterium. RNAcentral describes it as "partial 16S ribosomal RNA". It matches the Rfam family "Bacterial small subunit ribosomal RNA", at positions 524 to 776 of the family's 1533-position model. The record is from RNAcentral.